GCAGGGCCUGGUGGCACAGGCCUGUAAUCCCAGCAGCUCAGGAGGCUGAGGCAGAAGGAUUACAAGUUCAAAGCCAGCCUCGGCAAUUUAGUGAGGCUCUAAGCAACUUAGAGAGACCCUGUCUCUA
This 127-nucleotide small RNA is filed under the name Marmota monax (woodchuck). The record is from RNAcentral. Lineage: Eukaryota; Metazoa; Chordata; Mammalia; Rodentia; Sciuridae.